UACGGAGGGUGCAAGCGUUAUCCGGUAUGACUGGGUUUAAAGGGUGCGUAGGCGGCUAAAUAAGUCAGAGGUGAAAGCUUGCAGCUUAACUGCGAAAUUGCCUUUGAUACUGUAUAGCUUGAAAGGAGCUGAGGUCAGCAGAAUGUGGCAUGUAGCGGUGAAAUGCAUAGAUAUGCCAUAGAAUACCAAUUGCGAAGGCAGCAGGCUGGGCUUACUUUGACGCUGAGGCACGAAAGCGUGGGGAUCCAACAUG
This 253-nucleotide ribosomal RNA is filed under the name uncultured bacterium. RNAcentral's name for it is "partial 16S ribosomal RNA". It matches the Rfam family "Bacterial small subunit ribosomal RNA", at positions 524 to 776 of the family's 1533-position model. The record is from RNAcentral.